Molecule: long non-coding RNA, 1099 nt
Filed under: Monodon monoceros (narwhal)
Lineage: Eukaryota; Metazoa; Chordata; Mammalia; Artiodactyla; Monodontidae
Description: lncRNA (ENSMMNG00015018462.1)
Source: RNAcentral
AAUCUGUCCACUUAUCUCAAUUUACUAAAAGUGUUUGUUAAUACAUUAUUAUGACUGAAUUUUGCCCUCCUUACCUCCAUAAUUCAUAUGUUGAAGCCCUAACCCCAUCUGCGACUGUAUUGGAGACAGGGCCUAUAAAGAGGUGAUUAAAGUUAAAUGAGGUCAAGGAAGUAACUUCAGAGGAGGAUCUGAUGGAUAUGGAAGUGGUCGUGGAUUUGGGGAUGGCUAUAAGGGGUAUGGAGGAGGACCUGGAGGAAAUUAUGGAAGUGGAAAUUUUAAUAAUUUUGGAAAUUAUAAUCAGCAACCUACUAACUAUGGCUCAAUGAAGAGUGGAAACUUCGGUGGUAGCAGGAACAAGGGGGGACCAUAUGGUGGAGGAAACUAUGGUCCAGGAGGCAGUGGAGGAAGUGGGGGUUAUGGAGGGAGAAGCCAAUAUUGAGCUCGUUUCUAUUUACCAUGGGCUUCACUGUAUAAAUAGGAGAGGAUGAGAGCCCAGAGGUAACAGAACAGCUUCAGGUUAUCGAAAUAACAAUGUUAAGGAAACUCUCAUCUCAGUCAUGCAUAAAUAUGCAGACUACACCAGAGGAGAUGCAGAGAGCCAUUUUGUGAAUGGAUUGGAUUAUUUAAUAACAUUACCUACUGGGGAGGAAGGAUUGUAAAAAAAAAAAAGCCUUUGAGACAGUUUCUUAGCUUUUUAAUUGUUGUUUCUUUCUAGUGGUCUUUGUAAGAAUAUAGAAGCAGUCCUUCUUUGAUAAUGUUAAAUUUGUAAGUUUCAGUUGACAUGUGAAACCUUUUUUAAGAUUUUUCUCAAAGUUUAGAAAAGCUAUUAGCCAGGAUCAUGGUGUAAUAAGACAUAACGUUUUUCCUUUAAAAAAAAUUUAAGUGCGUGGGUAGAGUUUAAAAGCUGUUAUACAUUUAUAAUUUAAUAUAAUAAUUGUAAAGGAAAAAAAAUGUUAAGUGCGGUCAUAAGGGAGGAACCUUGAUCAAAUAGAACUGCUGUCCUUAUAAAAGAGGAAGAGAUACUAGAAUCUCUCUCUGUCUCUCUCUCUCUGCCUCAAGGACAGAGUGAGAAGGCAGCAGUCUGUAAGCCAAGAAGAGA